UGAUGAUGAUGAGGGAAAUUACUGAGUAUACCCUUAAAUGUCUCCCAAGCUUAGUAGAGAUUCUCUCUAUUAUUCUAUCUAAAACUCAAGAUUUCACUCCUCAAGCU
Molecule: small nucleolar RNA, 107 nt
Organism: Capsicum annuum
Lineage: Eukaryota; Viridiplantae; Streptophyta; Magnoliopsida; Solanales; Solanaceae
Source: RefSeq, a predicted model, not a curated record